RNAcentral lists this unclassified non-coding RNA (348 nucleotides) under soil metagenome. RNAcentral describes it as "partial contains 5.8S ribosomal RNA, internal transcribed spacer 2, and large subunit ribosomal RNA". The stretch from base 1 to 120 matches the Rfam family "5.8S ribosomal RNA", at positions 35 to 154 of the family's 154-position model. The record is from RNAcentral.
GAUGAAGAACGUAGCAAAAUGCGAUAAGUAAUGUGAAUUGCAGAAUUCAGUGAAUCAUCGAAUCUUUGAACGCACAUUGCGCCCGCUGGUAUUCCGGCGGGCAUGCCUGUUCGAGCGUCAUUUCAACCCUCAAGCCCCCGGGUUUGGUAUUGGGGAUCGGCUCUGCCCUUCUGGGCGGUGCCGCCCCCGAAAUACAUUGGCGGUCUCGCUGCAGCCUCCAUUGCGUAGUAGCUAACACCUCGCAACUGGAACGCGGCGCGGCCAUGCCGUAAAACCCCAACUUCUGAAUGUUGACCUCGGAUCAGGUAGGAAUACCCGCUGAACUUAAGCAUAUCAAUAAGCGGAGGA